CCUACGGGGGGCUGCAGUUAGGAAUUUUGCGCAAUGGACGAAAGUCUGACGCAGCAACGCCGCGUGAGGGAUGAAGGCCUUCGGGUCGUAAACCUCUUUUAGUUGGGACGAAAAAAAUGACGGUACCGACAGAAACAGCACCGGCUAACCCUGUGCCAGCAGCCGCGGUAAUACAGGGGGUGCAAGCGUUACUCGGAAUUACUGGGCGUAAAGAGCGUGUAGGCGGCUUGACAAGUCUGAUGUGAAAUCCCUGGGCUCAAUCCAGGAAGUGCAUU
This 275-nucleotide ribosomal RNA is filed under the name uncultured bacterium. RNAcentral's name for it is "partial 16S ribosomal RNA". It matches the Rfam family "Bacterial small subunit ribosomal RNA", at positions 338 to 627 of the family's 1533-position model. The record is from RNAcentral.